AUUGAACGCUGGCGGCAGGCCUAACACAUGCAAGUCGAACGGUAGCACAGAGAGCUUGCUCUCGGGUGACGAGUGGCGGACGGGUGAGUAAUGUCUGGGAAACUGCCCGAUGGAGGGGGAUAACUACUGGAAACGGUAGCUAAUACCGCAUAACGUCGCAAGACCAAAGUGGGGGACCUUCGGGCCGCACACCAUCGGAUGGGCCCAGAUGGGAUUAGCUAGUAGGUGGGGUAAUGGCUCACCUAGGCGACGAUGCCUAGCUGGUCUGAGAGGAUGACCAGCCACACUGGAACUGAGACACGGUCCAGACUCCUACGGGAGGCAGCAGUGGGGAAUAUUGCACAAUGGGCGCAAGCCUGAUGCAGCCAUGCCGCGUGUAUGAAGAAGGCCUUCGGGUUGUAAAGUACUUUCAGCGGGGAGGAAGGCGGUGAAGUUAAUAACUUCACCGAUUGACGUUACCCGCAGAAGAAGCACCGGCUAACUCCGUGCCAGCAGCCGCGGUAA
Molecule: ribosomal RNA, 504 nt
Filed under: uncultured bacterium
Lineage: Bacteria
Description: partial 16S ribosomal RNA
Rfam family: Bacterial small subunit ribosomal RNA
Source: RNAcentral